AGAUGUUGUGGGUCACAGCGAGGCUCGGAUUCAUGAAAUCUCAGUUAGAGCUUUACUGAAAGCUGUAGGGCAGGGGGUCUAAUUUCAGGAUGACCUCAACUCCUGUGUCAUACUUUUCUUCUGAUAAGCAAGUGGUCUAAAGAGGAUGCCUGAAAAGGAAAAGGCUGACCUGAGGUGUCCACAUCCAGUUUUUAAUGCCAAAACACAGAAGAUGCAUUGCAGUGCUACAAUACAUAUUUGUUAGUUUGAAUUGAGUGCCAGAAAGAUUUUUUCAGACAUGUAACAUCAUCUAUUGUGCUGAGUCUGGGCACCAGCUGGCAGACCUUUGUGAUAUCAUUCUGAUUUCAUGAUGAAACACUGAUGCAAAGCAAUGAAACAGAUGCAAAGCAAUGAUAACUAAAGUCAGCUAAACUGAGAUAACAAGACUGAACCUAAGAGUCAAAGGUAAAGCAAAGGUUCAUAUAGUGUGGCCCAAAAACAUAAAGAAAAUGAGUGUGAUGGCAGCCAUGGCAAUGCCACCUUGGGGUCCCAGCCUAUUCUGCUGCCUUUGUGCUCACAUUUGUUCUGAUCACACACCAGAAAAGGACUGAGCAUUGACACUGUUUAAUGUCAGUGUCCAUGGGGGUAUCUGGAGUUUGCACAAAAGUGUUUCUGUGGUCAAGACACAGAAGUUGAAAUUAUGAACCCUGACUCCAAGGCCUCUGUUGGAGCUCUAGAAGUAAUCCUCCAAAUGGAACCCAUUCCUCCCGCAGAGGAGGGAACCAAUCAAAGCAUGCAUCAGCUGCAAAGCUUACAUUGUAAAAUGUGUGAAUGGGAGAACAACUAGUUGACAAAACAGAUAUUUUCCCUUCUGGCUUUUUGAUUUAAUGAGAAAAUGAUAAAUAAUCUUUCCCAGCAGUCCUAUUUUUCAAAGAGACAUGCUAUUGCAGGAAAGAAGCAGAGAUUCUCUUCAAAAAUAGAGAAGAUGAGAGCUUUGUGACCAAUGAUAUUCAGUAGGCAAUGCCUGGAAUAUUAAGUCCUCUUUUUUCAAAAGGUAAGGAAGAAAGCAAAAUGAUAAAUGAAAAAAAAAAAAAAAAAAGCCAUGCCUUGCUUAAAAAUGUUAAUUUGUCCAAAGAGGGUAUUUCAAACGUGAGCCCCCAGGAGAGCAGGCACACGUACAGGGAGGAAACACACUGUAAUUUUGAAUUUAGAUUUUCCGAGUUGUCUAAGUCAUCAAACAACUAUUAUUGGGAUAAAUAACAGCCAUUGUAUGUCUUUUCACCACAAAAGGGAAAUUGAU
Molecule: long non-coding RNA, 1279 nt
Organism: Motacilla alba alba
Lineage: Eukaryota; Metazoa; Chordata; Aves; Passeriformes; Motacillidae
Exons: 3
Source: RefSeq, a predicted model, not a curated record